This 454-nucleotide long non-coding RNA is filed under the name Phoenix dactylifera (date palm). Its description in RNAcentral is "long non-coding RNA (PDAC_LNC014367)". Lineage: Eukaryota; Viridiplantae; Streptophyta; Magnoliopsida; Arecales; Arecaceae. The record is from RNAcentral.
CAUGAGCAAGUCAUAUUAGAUUAAUUGAUCUAAUUGGUGUCUAGGAAAGCAUGAAAGGUGGUUACUUAAUUAGGACCUUACUCUCUGAGUAAGGGGAGCCUUCCACCUGCUUACCUGGCCAAUUGUUCGAUUACCUCUUAUGAAGAGCUCAAGUUGCAAACACUAAGACCUGAUUAACCAAUAUUAAGUCAAUAGGUCUUCCACUGUAGUAGAGCUGCUAAGGUCUUUCUAAUGUUGAUUUGUCUCGGCUGGAUACAGUGGUCAAGUUGCAUCGGGGGGCUGGACCUCUCUAUAGACAUGAGAUGUUGUAGGGUAAAGGUGGGGUUGGGCACCAAUAACUGUUAGGUGAGGGUCCAAUGACGACUUUAUUCCUACGGUUGUACGGUGGGUCUGACUUAACUAAGAAAUGGGACCAAUAACUGUUAGGUGAGGUUUUCAUGGCUUAGAGACCAAG